UUAACUCAAUUUUUGUGUGGAGUUGGAACGUUUGCCUACGUUUGCCGCUAGGGGCGCUGUUCCAACUCCACACAAAUUUUAGUUA
Molecule: non-coding RNA, 85 nt
Organism: Bombyx mori (domestic silkworm)
Lineage: Eukaryota; Metazoa; Arthropoda; Insecta; Lepidoptera; Bombycidae
Source: Rfam